CAGUAGCCGCGGGAAUACGUAGGUGGCAAGCGUUGUCCGGAAUUAUUGGGCGUAAAGCGCGCGCAGGUGGUUUAAUAAGUCUGAUGUGAAAGCCCACGGCUCAACCGUGGAGGGUCAUUGGAAACUGUUAAACUUGAGUGCAGGAGAGAAAAGUGGAAUUCCUAGUGUAGCGGUGAAAUGCGUAGAGAUUAGGAGGAACACCAGUGGCGAAGGCGGCUUUUUGGCCUGUAACUGACACUGAGGCGCGAAAGCGUGGGGAGCAAACAGGAUUAGAUACCCCCGUAGUCCCUGUCUCUUAUAU
This 301-nucleotide ribosomal RNA is filed under the name uncultured bacterium. Its description in RNAcentral is "partial 16S ribosomal RNA". It matches the Rfam family "Bacterial small subunit ribosomal RNA", at positions 509 to 809 of the family's 1533-position model. The record is from RNAcentral.